Molecule: small nuclear RNA, 188 nt
Filed under: Castor canadensis (American beaver)
Lineage: Eukaryota; Metazoa; Chordata; Mammalia; Rodentia; Castoridae
Description: U2 spliceosomal RNA (ENSCCNG00000003133.1)
Rfam family: U2 spliceosomal RNA
About the family: U2 is a small nuclear RNA (snRNA) component of the spliceosome (involved in pre-mRNA splicing). Complementary binding between U2 snRNA (in an area lying towards the 5' end but 3' to hairpin I) and the branchpoint sequence (BPS) of the intron results the bulging out of an unpaired adenosine, on the BPS, which initiates a nucleophilic attack at the intronic 5' splice site, thus starting the first of two transesterification reactions that mediate splicing.
Source: Rfam by way of RNAcentral
AUCACUUCUCAGCCUUUUGGCUAAGAUCAAGUGUAGUAUCUGUUCUUAUCAGUUUAAUAUCUGAUAUGUCCUCUAUCCAAAGACUAUAUUAAAUGGAUUUUUGGAACAGGGAGAUGGAAUAGGAGCUUGCUCCGUCCACUCCAUGCAUCAACCAGUAUUGCAGAACCUCCAGGAAUGGUGCACCAAAA